UUGGCGCUCAAUUGUAGAUAAGUGCCGCGGUUUGUAUUAUCUUUUCACGCUGCACCGCGAAGGAUGACAAAGAGACAACAUGGGUGUCAUGGCCUUCAGCAUAUCAUUAAGGGUGCUAAUGGAGAGCGGGGAUUUGGGAUGCCUGGCACAGCUCGGAAAUGCUGAUUCACCCAGAGACCUCCCUUUUCUCAGGCCAGAGCCUGCUCGAGGCAGCUCCUGGUCAAAAAAUCCCAGCCCAGCAAACUCCAGGAAUAUCUUGGGAGCCGAGCAGCUGCUCCGGCUCCAGCAAACACCAUCCCUGGGAUCCAGGGACCCACGGCACGGAGUGGGCUGUGGCCCCUGCACACCCUGUCCCCACCUGGGGACUCCCUGAUCCCACCAGGGAGUCCCUCACAGGGUCCCUCCCUCCUCUGUUUCCCAGGAAUGGGAUGUUCCUGACAUCUGGGGUAAACUGGUCCCAUCCCUCCCACUGGGGAGGAUCCGGGUCUGGCCCCUCUGCUCGGGGUAGCUUUCAAUUAAAACCAAAAUAUCCCCUAAUAACCCACAGAGGGCUUUUUAUUUCCUUCCUCUUUUUAAUUUUUUUUUUUUUUUAAUUAAUGUAUUAUGACAAGCUUAGAGAUGGAUGUAAAACUGGCGAGGGACGAUUUGAGGAUUAAGGACUGGCGUGUCCUGGUGUGAUGGGCAAAGAAAAGACAAUCCUGAUGGGGUUGGGAUCAGGCUGGGGAAGGGACACCGAGUCCAGCCAGGCCAGGAAGAGGAAGAAGGGGAUACAGGGCUGGGAAGAGGACUCUAGAGCCGGGGAGGGGAUGCUGCAUCCAGCGGAGCAGGAGGGGUCCCGGCCGACGGCUCCGGAAGCAGCAGCGAGAUCCCAAAGCGGGACCUCCUGCGCCGCUCCCGCCGCUCUCCCACCGGCUCCCGCCUCCCUGCAUCCCGUUUAGCAUAAAAGUCAUUUUGGUCGGGGACCCCCGGCUGCUGCUCCCUCAUUCCCAGGCAUCGGGGCCCCCGCGGGAUCGCUGCGCGGGGCGAGCAGCGUUUAACCCCCCCGCCAAGGGGAAUUGGCUGCUUCACCGUUUCCCUGACCCCAAAAAGACAAUGAAAUCGUGCACGAAACCAAUAGAUUUUAGCCACAGGCCUGCGGAGAGGCGAGAGGAAUAAAAUACAGAUGGAGCCUCGUGCGGCGGGGAUGGGAAUGGAUUCCGAGCGGGAGCUGGGACGUGCCGGCGCUGCCCGGGGUCGGGAUGAGGUGACCCCCCCAGUUCCACGUGCACCUCACAGCCACGCUCUGGGUGGCUUUUGGGGCCCAAUUCUGCGUUUCCUGGAAAAAAGACCCCCUCGUUUCUAUCCCGGCUGCAGCCCCCAGCCUGAAUUGAGGAGCUCUUUUGGGUGGUUUUUGACCAGGUUCUGAGCAAAGCCUUCUGCUGGGUGAUGGAGCUGGGAUGGGGUGGGGACACGGGGAUACCCGGAGCAUCCCGGGAUGGCUCAUCCCGUAUCCCUGUGGAGCUGGAGCCCUCAGAGGCUGCUCAUCCUCCUGCCUUAACGCACCACCUCUAUUUAUUCUGCUCCUGUAACUGUAAAAUUGAUUUUCUUGCAACAAGCCGCUCGUCUUUCACCACCCUACGCACCCAAACGCUCCGACAUAAGACACUGGCAAUUUUUAAUUAGUUUCCUUUCUCCCUCCUGCCUCCCCGAGCAGGCAUGUGGAACCGGAACAGGGCAGCCCGGAAAGGAGCAGGAUCCAGAGACAAAAGGCCGGAGGCUCCGAUCCAGCCCCACCGUCCCACCAAACCGGCGGAGGAUGGGACAAUUCCUGCUGCCAGCGGCUGGAUCUGCACCUUGGGAAUAUGUCCCGGUGCUGCAAAGGGGACCCCGCGCCUCUUGGGGAAUUUGGGGUGCUGCAGCGUGCAGGGGACCGGAGCUGCCCCAUCCCAAAAUCCCCAUUUCCCGCUGCCCAGUGCCGUGCCCCAUCCCGUGCCCACCCGCGGGUGUCUGUGGGUGCCGUGGGGGGGUUGCAGCCCUCGCCAGGAGCCCAAUUAUGGGAUUUCCAAAGGGAAGGAGCUGCCUCCCCGCUGCCAACACAGCCCUCCACUCUUUGGGGAUGAACGGGGGGAUUGUGCUUGUUCGGGAUCGAGUGAUCAAUAUUAAUUAUGCAAAGCAGCCUCUCCAGCCCACCCUUGUCUCCACAACAUUCCAGGACGGGGGAGCAAUUUAUUCAUGGAGCAGGUCACUCCCUGUACGAACAUCCCUUUCAAAAGGGAGUUGCAACUGGAGGAGAUCAAGCAGGGCUGAGUUUGCCUCCCUCAGAUAUGAUAAAAUAUUCUAAUAAAUACUCGGGAAGCCCGUGACAAGGAGAACGUUUCAGGCUGGCGAGAUCCUCGUGGUGGGGCCUUUUGUGGGGGUCUUCUGUUUGUGUUGAGGGAUUUGGGGGGUUCUGCAGCAUCCUCAGGGCCCGUCUACCCUUCGGUCCUGCUGGAUGCCCUCAGGAUUUCGAAUUUUUAAUAGAAAAACAUAAAAAUCUGCUGUUUCCUCCCCUUGGAUGUUCAGGAGGGAUUUUCUCCUCCCUUUGCUGUGGGGAACACCACACCCCGUGGGGCUCCCCGACAGCGUGGGUGGCCCCAGACACGGGGACAACGGCACCCCAGCCCUAUCCCCACUCCCACCCUGUUCCUGGCCCCAUUCCAGCCUCAUUCCUAUCCUUUUCCCAGACAAAUCACAGCCCUAUCUUCACUCCCACCCCAUUCCUGGACCUAUUCCAUCCUCAUUCCCAUCUCAUCCCCACUCCCAUCCCAUCCCUGGCCCCAUCCAAACACCAUCCACAGUCCCAGCCCAAUCCUAUCCCUGGCCCCGUCCCAUCUCCUUCUCUAAUUCCAUGUCCACUCUGAUUCUCUUCCUGCCAGGCCCAGAUCACCCCAUUCCCAAUCCAAGUCUCACCCC
Molecule: long non-coding RNA, 2931 nt
Organism: Corvus hawaiiensis (hawaiian crow)
Lineage: Eukaryota; Metazoa; Chordata; Aves; Passeriformes; Corvidae
Exons: 3
Source: RefSeq, a predicted model, not a curated record